AUUGAACGCUGGCGGCAGGCUUAACACAUGCAAGUCGAGCGGGGUGAUGGUGCUUGCACUAUCACUUAGCGGCGGACGGGUGAGUAAUGCUUAGGAAUCUGCCUAUUAGUGGGGGACAACAUCUCGAAAGGGAUGCUAAUACCGCAUACGUCCUACGGGAGAAAGCAGGGGAUCACUUGUGACCUUGCGCUAAUAGAUGAGCCUAAGUCGGAUUAGCUAGUUGGGGGGGUAAAGGCCUACCAAGGCGACGAUCUGUAGCGGGUCGGAGAGGAUGAGCCGGCCAACUGGGACUGAGACACGGCCCAGACUCCUACGGGAGGCAGCAGUGGGGAAUAUUGGACAAUGGGGGGAACCCUGAUCCAGCCAUGCCGCGUGUGUGAAGAAGGCCUUAUGGUUGUAAAGCACUUUAAGCGAGGAGGAGGCUCUUUUGGUUAAUACCCAAGAUGAGUGGACGUUACUCGCAGAAUAAGCACCGGCUAACUCUGUGCCAGCCGCCGCGGUAA
Molecule: ribosomal RNA, 503 nt
Filed under: uncultured bacterium
Lineage: Bacteria
Description: partial 16S ribosomal RNA
Rfam family: Bacterial small subunit ribosomal RNA
Source: RNAcentral